AGCUACGGACAUCCCACCCUGACCACACCAGAUCUCCACUGACCUCGGAAGCUAAGCAGGGUGGGGCCUGGUUAGUAUUGGAAAGUGGAAACUCAUGUGGUAAGGAACUGCAGACAACUGCAGCCA
RNAcentral lists this ribosomal RNA (126 nucleotides) under Nannospalax galili (Upper Galilee mountains blind mole rat). The record is from RNAcentral. Lineage: Eukaryota; Metazoa; Chordata; Mammalia; Rodentia; Spalacidae.